This is a long non-coding RNA of Phyllopteryx taeniolatus (common seadragon), 3536 nucleotides long. RefSeq lists it as uncharacterized. The transcript has 4 exons. NCBI's taxonomy places the organism in Eukaryota, Metazoa, Chordata, Actinopteri, Syngnathiformes, Syngnathidae. The record is from RefSeq and is a predicted model, not a curated record.
CUUACCUGUUAGACAUGUUGUGCGAUGCUGUUCCGAGCGAUCGUCUUCCCAGGACCGACAAGGCGUACGACAGAGUCACCAGAGGGGAGUCUUCAUCGCUGUCAACAGGCUGGACAAACAAACAUGAGGACACAUUUUAUAUGAUACGGGAUGUUGGCACAUUGGAACCUAGUGCCGAUGUCUGCGGGCAAGCAAUGAACUUAAUGGGUCGCGGGUACGAGGAGAAGAAGAUGGCGCUGCCUAGAAAGGGGGCCAGCGGAGUGUAAAAGAUGGUGGUGAUCAGCGUCUGAAGCAGCAGCAUGGCCGAGUCUGUUCACACGCCAGUCAAGAACAAACCUGUGGAAGUCACGAGGAUGGACACGACGAAGAAGUCGAGUAGGAAGCUCUCGGAAGCGCGCGGGCAGUCAAAGUGAAAGAAAACCAGUGUGAAGAGCAAGGUGAGGAACUGGAAGCUGGGGUCGCAGAAGGACGAGCGCAGGAGCUUCAUCCCGGCGACGGUGGUCAGCAGGACAUCGCAGCUGCGUGGGGACAACAAAAAAACGCGUCAACAGCACCACCCCCUUGCGACCGAGCGAAGGUAAGGCGGGUCUUACUGGAUCCCCAGCCUCUUGCGGUGGCUCAGGGAGAAGCCGUCGUUGGUGAGCGCGCUCAGUAGGAUGGCGGGGUACACCACGUACUUCUCGAAGCACAGCAGGCCCACGUACAGACGCUCGAACCACAUCAGCACUGCGUCCUCUUUCACACACAAAAAGCAGGUAUGCUGUUUUUUCUUUGUUUUUUUUAUAUACACUGCAUUCCAAAUUAUUAUGCAAACGAUAUUUUUGUAUAAUCUUCCUAAAUCUUUGCUACAAAUGACAGUGGGCAUCAUUUUCAAGUCAUCAACCGUCGGAAUAAAAUUUCAACGUUUUCUUUUUAAACAACCUCCAAAUGAUGCAAGUAUUCUUUUGGGGGGGAAAAACCUAUCAUGCACUGUUCCAAAUCAUUACGCAUAGUUUGAAAGUUUUAAACGGUCAUUUAUUGAAUUUGCAGCAUUAAGAGGUCAUAUUUACUGAAAUCAAAAGCUAUUUCAAUCCAAAACAUUGUAACAAGUCAAGUUACAUUUGGAUAUUGGAGCCCUUAUUUGAUAGCAGCUUCACAAUUCUUACAGCCAUUAAACUUGUGACGUUUUGGAGAGCUUCUGCUUGAACUUCUUUUGUCAUGCUUGAAGACGAUUUUGGUCAUUGAAGCGCUGUUCAUCCUUUGGUACCGUGGAAGAAAGUGGUCAUUCAAAAAGUCCACAUACUUUUCACCCCCUCAAGGACCCCGGAUCUGUAUUCUUUUCAAAUUAUGAGCCUCCUAGCAUUUCAGUUGGCAUACACCAUUCAUUUUUUUAAAUAAUGAUUUUUAUUGUGAAACAUCUGCAGGAAAGUGUUGUGGGGAAAUUCAUUAACUUGAACUCAGGGUCGAUCAAAGAUUUGCAGGUGGUCCAGGACCCCAAAAGGUUGGAGAACCACUCAUUUAGAUCACCCACUUAAGUAAGCAAACAGUCAGUCUCAGACCACCAAUAAGGUUCUACAGCGCUGACCUCUGGGCUCAAACUGGUGGUACUCUUUGGUCUUGAGCAGCGGGUGCGAAAUCCACAGCCAGGGGUGAUGCUUCCUCAGCUGGGGGAUCAGGUAGUGCGUCACAAAGCCCACCGUCCCGGCCAGCGCGUACAGCACGAUGGUCACAAAGGGCUGACAAAAAAAAAUUACCAAAAAAUGCGGUAAUAUGAGUUAGUGAGGCAGACUAGUGGUUAAGAAGGGAAGUUUCACCUUUAGCGACAGGAAGACGGUGCUGGCGGUGACGGCGAAGGUCAGAAUGUAGGCCAGCGAGCACACGAUCACGUCCGACAGAAGAAUCUCCUUCUGUGGAACAUCCAGCAUUUGUGAUGAUUAUGAUCAUUAAUAAUACAUAUACAUACACUGCUCAGAGUUAAAAAAAGGCAGUCUGAUAAUAUUGAUGACUAUUGGAAAAUGCUCGCUGGAGGCUUGAUACAAAAUAAAUUGUCGCACACCAUAGAAUUCUGCAGCUUCUUGGGCAGAGGGUCUUCGAUGUCUGUGUCUUGACCUUGCUCUUCUUCGCCCUCCACCAACGUGGGCAUCACUUUGGACUUAAUCAGCGAGCUGCAGGCAAAAGACACGACAGGACGAGAACAUGACAGAGGGGUCGCUGCUCUGCCGACUGAGGUGGUAGGAGAAAACCACCAGCAGGCCGCAGAAACCGGAGAACAAGGCCGGCGUGUGCUGCUCGUCCCACGGCUCCUGCAACACAAGCAUUGAAACAUUUUACCGCUUCGCAGUCAGACUUCAUCCAGGUGUUUUUUGGGGGCACGUUGGACGCGUCUACCUUGAGGGCCCCGAAGCAGAAACCGUAGAGCAGAGACAGAGCCGCCAGGCUGCGGAGGAUGCUGUACACUGCGGAGAUCAGACUUGUAGCCGCUAGAAUGGAAGCACACAAACACUUUGGCCUUGAAUAAUCUACCACCAAAAGAACCAUUUUUCCAUGCUUAUCCUCAUUAGGGUCGCAAUCACACCUAUGGACAAUUUAGAGUCUUCAAUGAAGCUAAUAUGCAUGUUUUUGGGAUGUGGGAGGAAACCGCAGUGCCCGGAGAAAACCCACGCAGGCACGGGGAGAACAUGCAAACACCACACAGGCGGGGCCGGGAUUUCAACCCCGGUCCUCAGAACUAUGUGGCAGAUGUGCUAACCCGGGGAUUGAACCCCGCUCCUCAGAACUGUGAGGCUGACGCUCUAACCAGUCGUCCACCGUGCGCCUGACUACAAUAUAUUCUACUGGAAUUUCUCAUACAUUCCAACACAUGAGUGGCUGACCUGUGCCGCCAAAAAAAUGAAUGUCAAUCUGCUCCAGCAGGUAGAUGGUGAAGGUGUUGACUUGCGGGAAAAGGCCCACCAGAAACGUGAUGGGGAAGCAGUGAGUGAAACCUGUUACAGAAAUCGAUCAACUACUCGCUCAGAACGGAAGUGGCUUUGAGGUUCGAGCGUCUCUCGGUUUUUUUCCGUACCCACUAGCAGAUUCUGCAAAAAGCGCAGCGUGUCGCGGCACACGAUGGUGACGCCGUACAAGGUGGACUCGGGGAGGUCCUUCCUGCGCAGGAGUUGCUCCAGCGUCCAGAUGAGCGAGCAGAAGAUGCAGAAGUAUGCCGCGCGGCUGUAGGCCACCAGCUGGUUGUGACCCUGCACAUACACACAAUGGCAUUCCAUCUACAGUAUCUAGCGGUGUAUGACACAGUAGGUCGGUAGAUUGACAGACAGAUAGAUAGAUAGAUAGACAGACAGAUAGAUAGAUAGCUACUCCAUAUGUUUUGUAAGUAAAACACUUAUCAUUAGUUUUGAACCAUAGAUAAGUAACUCACAUGUGUUGGUGAAGCUGCAUCUGGUUGAACACUCUGCAAAGCAAAUCCACACGGAGUGAAAUUACAAUUUGUAAAGUGACCUGCACAAAAUUAGAGCUAAUACAAUAUUAUAAAGGCGCAAUCUACAGUAGACUGUUUAAUA